UUUUGUGCGCGGUGGCUUGUGGGACGAACCAUAUAUGGAAGUUCAACUUCCGUCACGUUUGUGUGGUUUGUCUGCGGGCUGCAGCUGGACCCUUCUCAUUUUAUUGGUCCAAAACUGGCUUUACUGCUCUCCAUUCAAAUCAGCGGGGUGGCUUCGUCCAGUAAUAUAUUGUCUAUGGGUAGACAUCAGAGUCGGCAGAUCUCGCGAUAAACAAAUUGGCCAUUUUUAAAUGAGGGGUUACGAUUUCGGCCUUUCAGCGAGCAAUGGGCGAGAGUUUACUGCAAACGCUGGAAGCAAAAAGACAUUUACCUUGGUCUUUUAUGGAUCCCAUUUACCCGAGAGACUGGUGCCAACCAGGAGACCCAUCUGAUGCUCUUGCUACAUCAAGUAGCAGCUUAGAUGAAGAUCUAGUUUUGGAUGCAGCCAGCCCAUUUAUUUUGCCAUUAUUUAUGUUUUUAUUACUGCAUGUUGUUAAAAUUGUUUGUAUUUUCAUAUAAACUGUCUUGUAUUUAUAAUAAUAUUUUAUCAAUAAUUCCUUUACAUUUUCAUCAGUUGUCUACGUUGUAAUCCUUUUUCUUAAUAAAAUCUUUAUAUUUAA
Micropterus dolomieu (smallmouth bass) is the source of this 598-nucleotide long non-coding RNA. RefSeq lists it as uncharacterized. NCBI's taxonomy places the organism in Eukaryota, Metazoa, Chordata, Actinopteri, Centrarchiformes, Centrarchidae. The transcript has 2 exons. The record is from RefSeq and is a predicted model, not a curated record.